RNAcentral lists this small nuclear RNA (313 nucleotides) under Microtus ochrogaster (prairie vole). RNAcentral's name for it is "7SK RNA (ENSMOCG00000011843.1)". It matches the Rfam family "7SK RNA". From Rfam's summary of the family: 7SK was discovered as an abundant small nuclear RNA in the mid-70s but a possible function has only recently been suggested. Two independent studies have found that 7SK RNA binds the CDK9/cyclin T complex (known as elongation factor P-TEFb). Lineage: Eukaryota; Metazoa; Chordata; Mammalia; Rodentia; Cricetidae. The record is from RNAcentral.
AGGUGGGGCUAUAUGGCAGUGACAUCUGUAACCCAGUUGACCAACGGGACCGAUAAAGGUGAUCUGGCUCUCUAUGCUGGUGUCCCCUUCCUCCUUCACUGUUCUAUGUGAGGCACUACUGAGUGCUGACCUAAAAAGAAUGAUCUUCCUGGGAUGUAAGAGGACUGGACUUCAUUCAAGAAUAUGCGAGUAGCUGUGCUUUCUUGUUACGAUCUCUAAGCAAACUCUCAGUAUCCAUUACAAGGUGUUUGAAUGUUCUCACCUUCUAAAAUGAAAGAAAACUUUUUGUUGGCAAUUUAUAAUAAACCUUUUU